This 253-nucleotide ribosomal RNA is filed under the name uncultured bacterium. RNAcentral's name for it is "partial 16S ribosomal RNA". It matches the Rfam family "Bacterial small subunit ribosomal RNA", at positions 524 to 776 of the family's 1533-position model. The record is from RNAcentral.
GACGUAGGGCGCAAGCGUUGUCCGGAAUUAUUGGGCGUAAAGGGCUCGUAGGCGGUUUGUCGCGUCGGGAGUGAAAUCCACUGGCUUAACUGGUGGCUUGCUUUCGAUACGGGCAGACUGGAGGUAUGCAGGGGAGAACGGAAUUCCUGGUGUAGCGGUGAAAUGCGCAGAUAUCAGGAGGAACACCGGUGGCGAAGGCGGUUCUCUGGGCAUGUCCUGACGCUGAGGAGCGAAAGUGUGGGGAGCGAACAGG